RNAcentral lists this transfer RNA (69 nucleotides) under Sternaspis buzhinskajae. Its description in RNAcentral is "tRNA-Ile". Lineage: Eukaryota; Metazoa; Annelida; Polychaeta; Terebellida; Sternaspidae. The record is from RNAcentral.
GAUAUUACGCCGGACCGAACGGAUAACUUUGAUGAAGUUAAAUAUAGGAUUGAUGCCUCCUUAAUAUCU